GAGAGUUUGAUUCUGGCUCAGGAUGAAUGCUGGCGGCGUGGAUAAGGCAUGCAAGUCGAACGGUGCAGGGUAGCAAUACUUUGCAUAGUGGCGAACGAGUUAGUAACACCUUGGUACAUACCUCGAAGUCGGGCACAACUAGUCGAAAGAUUAGCUAAUUCCCGAUAGUCCCGAAAGGGUAAAGUCGCAAGACGCUUUGAGAGUGGCCUAGGUCCUAUCAGCUUGUUGGCGGGGUAAAAGCCCACCAAGGCUAUGACGGGUAGGGGGCGUGAGAGCGCGACCCUCAACGACGAAACUGAGAUACGGUUCGUACACCUACGGGUGGCAGCAGUCGAGAAUAUUCGACAAUGGGCGAAAGCCUGAUCGAGCGACGCCGCGUGCGGGAAGAAGUCCUUAGGGAUGUAAACCGCUUUUGUUAGGGAAGAAUUUUGACGGUACCUGACGAAUAAGGGGUUGCUAACUCUGUGCCAGCAGCAGCGGUAAUACAGAGACCCCGAGCAUUAUCCGGAAUUACUGGGCGUAAAGAGCGAGUAGCCGGUUGUAUUAGUCUGAUGUUAAAUCCCAAGGCUUAACUUUGGGACCGCGUCGCAAACGGUACGACUAGAGCAGCUGAGAGGUAAGCGGAACGUGCAGUGUAGGGGUGAAAUCCAUUGAUAUUGCACGGAACACC
RNAcentral lists this ribosomal RNA (670 nucleotides) under Candidatus Yanofskybacteria bacterium RIFOXYA1_FULL_44_17. RNAcentral's name for it is "bacterial SSU rRNA". It matches the Rfam family "Bacterial small subunit ribosomal RNA", at positions 7 to 710 of the family's 1533-position model. The record is from RNAcentral. Lineage: Bacteria; Candidatus Yanofskyibacteriota.